CCCGAGUAGAACAGGCACAUGAAUCAUGGUGGAACAACAGCUGAACUUAGAUGGGAUGAGGACACCAGGAAUGCUUGGUAGCCUUUCCAGGCCACCUUGCUACCUUGGUCUGUGACUUGUUCCACUAAAACUCUGAUGGAGAAAUGUAUUCACUUCCUGACUGCUCACUACCUGUCUGCCUUCUGUGUGCCAAACUAGCCACCUACCCUCAAUGUCUGCUGCACUGGGAAGCUGCAGUGGUUAGAGGCUGUGAUCUCACUGAUUCCAAGGAAAUAGAGCAACAGCAUCAUCUUCCAAAGAGAUGGCAGUGAGCCAGGCCAGUUUCACUCAGAAAUUUCUCCUGCUGAUGUAUGCAGAGCUGUCAAAAUCCUUGCUAGCAGCCAUAGAGUCAGCCAGGCAUCACUGUUUCUUCACGCAGGAGAAGUUCAUCAUGGUGUCCUUCACAGAAAAAGGAAGUGGGAGAGGACCCUGCACAAUCCUGGAAAGCUGUAUGACACUGCUCCCCAAAACUUCAACAGAAACUGCAAGAUAAUACCAAAGAAACAACAAAAGAACCCAGAAAAACCCUAAACAACUCUAUACAGACUUUUGUCUGACAGGUAGCUUGGAAUCCAUGUCCCUGUAUGGUCUUCUCUGUCACACAAGGCUGCUGUAUGUCAC
Molecule: long non-coding RNA, 660 nt
Organism: Passer domesticus (house sparrow)
Lineage: Eukaryota; Metazoa; Chordata; Aves; Passeriformes; Passeridae
Exons: 5
Source: RefSeq, a predicted model, not a curated record